GUCUCCGUGGCCAAGCGGCUAAGGCGUGGGAUUGCAGAUCCUAAGAUCGUUGGUUCAAAUCCGACCGGGGACU
Transfer RNA from Pneumocystis murina B123, 73 nucleotides. It matches the Rfam family "tRNA". From Rfam's summary of the family: Transfer RNA (tRNA) molecules are approximately 80 nucleotides in length. Lineage: Eukaryota; Fungi; Ascomycota; Pneumocystomycetes; Pneumocystales; Pneumocystaceae. The record is from Rfam.